GAGCGAACGGGGAGCAGCCCAGAGCCUGAAUCAGUGUGUGUGUUAGUGGAAGCGUCUGGAAAGGCGCGUGAUACAGGGUGACAGCCCCGUACACAAAAAUGCACAUGCUGUGAGCUCGAUGAGUAGGGCGGGACACGUGGUAUCCUGUCUGAAUAUGGGGGGACCAUCCUCCAAGGCUAAAUACUCCUGACUGACCGAUAGUGAACCAGUACCGUGAGGGAAAGGCGAAAAGAACCCCGGCGAGGGGAGUGAAAAAGAACCUGAAACCGUGUACGUACAAGCAGUGGGAGCACGCUUAGGCGUGUGACUGCGUACCUUUUGUAUAAUGGGUCAGCGACUUAUAUUCUGUAGCAAGGUUAACCGAAUAGGGGAGCCGAAGGGAAACCGAGUCUUAACUGGGCGUUAAGUUGCAGGGUAUAGACCCGAAACCCGGUGAUCUAGCCAUGGGCAGGUUGAAGGUUGGGUAACACUAACUGGAGGACCGAACCGACUAAUGUUGAAAAAUUAGCGGAUGACUUGUGGCUGGGGGUGAAAGGCCAAUCAAACCGGGAGAUAGCUGGUUCUCCCCGAAAGCUAUUUAGGUAGCGCCUCGUGAAUUCAUCUCCGGGGGUAGAGCACUGUUUCGGCAAGGGGGUCAUCCCGACUUACCAACCCGAUGCAAACUGCGAAUACCGGAGAAUGUUAUCACGGGAGACACACGGCGGGUGCUAACGUCCGUCGUGAAGAGGGAAACAACCCAGACCGCCAGCUAAGGUCCCAAAGUCAUGGUUAAGUGGGAAACGAUGUGGGAAGGCCCAGACAGCCAGGAUGUUGGCUUAGAAGCAGCCAUCAUUUAAAGAAAGCGUAAUAGCUCACUGGUCGAGUCGGCCUGCGCGGAAGAUGUAACGGGGCUAAACCAUGCACCGAAGCUGCGGCAGCGACGCUUAUGCGUUGUUGGGUAGGGGAGCGUUCUGUAAGCCUGUGAAGGUGUACUGUGAGGUAUGCUGGAGGUAUCAGAAGUGCGAAUGCUGACAUAAGUAACGAUAAAGCGGGUGAAAAGCCCGCUCGCCGGAAGACCAAGGGUUCCUGUCCAACGUUAAUCGGGGCAGGGUGAGUCGACCCCUAAGGCGAGGCCGAAAGGCGUAGUCGAUGGGAAACAGGUUAAUAUUCCUGUACUUGGUGUUACUGCGAAGGGGGGACGGAGAAGGCUAUGUUGGCCGGGCGACGGUUGUCCCGGUUUAAGCGUGUAGGCUGGUUUUCCAGGCAAAUCCGGAAAAUCAAGGCUGAGGCGUGAUGACGAGGCACUACGGUGCUGAAGCAACAAAUGCCCUGCUUCCAGGAAAAGCCUCUAAGCAUCAGGUAACAUCAAAUCGUACCCCAAACCGACACAGGUGGUCAGGUAGAGAAUACCAAGGCGCUUGAGAGAACUCGGGUGAAGGAACUAGGCAAAAUGGUGCCGUAACUUCGGGAGAAGGCACGCUGAUAUGUAGGUGAAGUCCCUCGCGGAUGGAGCUGAAAUCAGUCGAAGAUACCAGCUGGCUGCAACUGUUUAUUAAAAACACAGCACUGUGCAAACACGAAAGUGGACGUAUACGGUGUGACGCCUGCCCGGUGCCGGAAGGUUAAUUGAUGGGGUUAGCGCAAGCGAAGCUCUUGAUCGAAGCCCCGGUAAACGGCGGCCGUAACUAUAACGGUCCUAAGGUAGCGAAAUUCCUUGUCGGGUAAGUUCCGACCUGCACGAAUGGCGUAAUGAUGGCCAGGCUGUCUCCACCCGAGACUCAGUGAAAUUGAACUCGCUGUGAAGAUGCAGUGUACCCGCGGCAAGACGGAAAGACCCCGUGAACCUUUACUAUAGCUUGACACUGAACAUUGAGCCUUGAUGUGUAGGAUAGGUGGGAGGCUUUGAAGUGUGGACGCCAGUCUGCAUGGAGCCGACCUUGAAAUACCACCCUUUAAUGUUUGAUGUUCUAACGUGGACCCGUAAUCCGGGUUGCGGACAGUGUCUGGUGGGUAGUUUGACUGGGGCGGUCUCCUCCUAAAGAGUAACGGAGGAGCACGAAGGUUGGCUAAUCCUGGUCGGACAUCAGGAGGUUAGUGCAAUGGCAUAAGCCAGCUUGACUGCGAGCGUGACGGCGCGAGCAGGUGCGAAAGCAGGUCAUAGUGAUCCGGUGGUUCUGAAUGGAAGGGCCAUCGCUCAACGGAUAAAAGGUACUCCGGGGAUAACAGGCUGAUACCGCCCAAGAGUUCAUAUCGACGGCGGUGUUUGGCACCUCGAUGUCGGCUCAUCACAUCCUGGGGCUGAAGUAGGUCCCAAGGGUAUGGCUGUUCGCCAUUUAAAGUGGUACGCGAGCUGGGUUUAGAACGUCGUGAGACAGUUCGGUCCCUA
This 2365-nucleotide ribosomal RNA is filed under the name Escherichia coli. RNAcentral's name for it is "partial 23S ribosomal RNA". It matches the Rfam family "Bacterial large subunit ribosomal RNA", at positions 251 to 2640 of the family's 2925-position model. The record is from RNAcentral. Lineage: Bacteria; Pseudomonadati; Pseudomonadota; Gammaproteobacteria; Enterobacterales; Enterobacteriaceae.